CCUACGGGAGGCAGCAGUGAGGAAUAUUGGUCAAUGGACGCAAGUCUGAACCAGCCAUGCCGCGUGCAGGAAGACUGCUCUAUGAGUUGUAAACUUCUUUUAUACGGGGAUAAAGGCAGAUACGUGUAUCUGUCUGAAAGUAUCUUACGAAUAAGGAUCGGCUAACUCCGUGCCAGCAGCCGCGGUAAUACGGAGGAUCCAAGCGUUAUCCGGAUUUAUUGGGUUUAAAGGGUGCGUAGGCGGGCGGAUAAGUUAGAGGUGAAAGCACGAGGCUCAACUUCGGAAUUGCAUUUGAUACUGUUCGGCUAGAGAGUAGUUGAGGUAGGCGGAAUGUAUGGUGUAGCGGUGAAAUGCUUAGAGAUCAUACAGAACACCGAUUGCGAAGGCAGCCUACUAAGCUACUUCUGACGUUGAGGCACGAAAGCGUGGGGAGCAAACAGGAUUAGAUACCCCUGUAGUC
Molecule: ribosomal RNA, 460 nt
Filed under: uncultured bacterium
Lineage: Bacteria
Description: partial 16S ribosomal RNA
Rfam family: Bacterial small subunit ribosomal RNA
Source: RNAcentral